Molecule: long non-coding RNA, 3813 nt
Filed under: Sus scrofa (pig)
Lineage: Eukaryota; Metazoa; Chordata; Mammalia; Artiodactyla; Suidae
Description: lncRNA (ENSSSCG00000053406.1)
Source: RNAcentral
UUUUUUUUUUUUUUUUUUUGGUCUUUUUUUGUCUUUUUAGGGCCACACCCAUGGCAUACAGAGGUUCCUAGGCUAGGGGUCCAAUUGGAGCUGUAGCCGCUGGCCUACAUCACAGCCAUAGCAACGAUGGAUCUGAGCCAUGUCUGCAACCUAUACCACAGCUCAUGGCAAUGCUAGAUCCUUAACCCACUGAGCAAGGCCAGGGAUCAAACCCACGUCCUCAUGGAUGCUAGUCGGAUUUGCUAACCACUGAGCCACGACAGGAACUCCUGGCGUUAAGAAUCUUAACCAAAGUUGUUCAGCCAAUCAUUGGUGGGGCUGGGCUGUGAGCUUAUGGAGCCAGAGUGGUCCUACAUGUCAUGCCUCCUGUUUCCUAAAAUAGAGAUGGUAUUGGGGGGAAAAUCUUGACUCUGCCUUAAUUUGUGGAAAAAAUCAAUUGUUUGCAUAAUUAAAAGUCAUGUAAGUAACAAGCACAUGACUCACAACUGCUUCUGCCCAUCACUGUGCCAUGACACCAGGACUGGGAACCACUACCAGAGGCUUGUGAGCUCAGAGGGACUGUGUAUGUGGUGUGGACACAUAGGCUCCUCUUCACAUUGGUGCAUGAGGACUGAAACAACCCUCUUCGUCAUCCUCCCAGAGCUACAGAGUUUCUGACCCUCUUCCUAGCAAGGUGAUGGUGGUUCUGGGAAACCACUUUAUAUUUUUGUUUUCAACACAAUUUUUUACUGUUAUGUAGUUGUGGGUUUAAAAUUUAUUUUUUGGGGAAAAAAGUAUGGCCAGUAAAAGAUCUGAAUCAAUCUUCUAAGUGAAGUAGAUGCUGGCUCGAAUGGAUACGGAGAAAAAUUAUAAAUCCAAGCAAUUAAUUAUUAAACACCAAACAGCCAAGGAUAGUACCUGUGGGCAGAGAGGCCCUCUCCUUUGAGGAGGUAAAAAAUAAUUGCAAGCACAGAGUCACUGAGAUGUCACACUGGGAAGCAUGGGGUGCACAGAGCAGUUGUUGUUUUCCGUUGGCUGAGCCACAUUAAAAGAAAGGUGGAGAUCUAAGAAGAAAGUAUUUAAAAAAAACCCCUUGGGGAAUUUCUUUAAUAACUAUGCAUGAAAAGGAAUAAGUGAUAAUGAGAGCCAGGGAGAAAGGCAGUAAAGGAUGUUUACUCUGGGCUGCAGGGAGCUCCAUGAGUCCCAAGGCUUUCAGGCCCUGAAAGAGCACUGGUAUGGCACAUAGUAGGUGCUCAAAAAUUAUUGAAAUAACCAGAAGUCAAUGACUGUAUGGAUGCCUUUCCCCCCUAAGUUUGAGAAAAGAGGAAACUUUAUAAAUAUUAUUGAAAUUGUAUCUGUUAUGGAUGGAGUGCUUAUGAGUGCCGUCCCCACCCCCUGUCACGUUCAUAUGUUGAAGUCCUAACCCCUGCAGUGUGAUGGUAUUUAGAGAUGUGGGCUUUGGGGGGUAAUGAGAUGACAUCACAGGUGUGGGGCCCUGGUCCAAUGGGAUUAGUGCCCUUAUAAGAAGGACACUGGAGAGCGUGGGUUUACUCUCCCUCUCCCUCCUCUCUCUUUCUCUCUCCCUCCCUCAUUCUUCCUCUCCCUCUCCCCCUUUCUCUUCUUCUUCCUCUUCUUCUCCCUCUCCCCAGCUACAAAAGAAGAAGUUAUGUGAGGACAUAGAAAGAAGAGGGCCAUCUGCAAGCCAGGCAAAAAGUCCUUCCCAGAAACCAAAAAGCCUGGCACCUUGGUUUGGGACUUCUCAGCCUCCAGAUCUGUUAGAAAUAAAUAUCUGGUGUUUAAACCACGUGGCUCUGGUAUUUGGUUAUAGCAACCUUAGCAGACUAAGACAGUCCCUAUACCCAUACCCGAGUCCUUAUAUAUCUUCGAAUUGUGUUCUACCUGGGAAUAAUUAUACCAUAGUAUCUACAUUAUACAUUAUAUAUACAUUUAUAUGUAUACAUUAGUAUACAUUAUGUAUACAUUAUAUAUACAUUUAUAUGUAUACAUUAGUCUUUUUAGUGUUUUGUUUUUAAAUAAAUAGUUAACUCUGAAUGUAAAAUAACUUCCCAGUUGAAUGAAUAUCAUACUAUUUUCUAUGACUCAGAAGUCCAUGUCCAAGAAGAAGUUGGUAUUCAAAUUUGGGGCCAUGCAUAUGCACACUGUGAUAUAUGGACAAUUGGCUAAAGGGGAUUUGCUGUAUAGCACAGGGAACUCUACUCAAUAUUCUCUGAUAAUCUGUAUGGGGAAAGAGUCUGAAAAAGAAUGAAUAUGUGUAUGUGUAUAACUGAAUCAGUUGUACAGCAGAAAUGACCACAACACUGUCAACCAACCAUACCUCAAUAAGACUUUAAAAAACGAAGAACAAGAAUACCAGAGGAGUUUCCUGGUGGCAUAGUGACGUAAGAAUCCAGCAUUGUCCCUGCUGUGGCUUGGAUCUCUGCUGCGGUGUGGGUUUGAUCCCUGUUCCCGGGACUUCCACAUCAUGCAGGUGUGGCAAAAAAGGAGGGAAGGAAGGAAGGAAGAAAGAAAAAUAGAGAGAAGGAAGGAGGGAAAGAAAGGAAGGAAGAAAAGACUAGAAAGAGGCGAAAACAAAACAAACUAAAACAUGGGAACAUUACCAGGGGCCUGCCGUCAAUGUGGAGGUACAACAUGUAGGCCUCGUACCAAAGAACUUCUGGUUUCUACAGUAUGGGUAAGGCACAAACCCAUACUUUGCAGCUCACUUUCUCUUGUUUUCUCUCUCUUUCUUUCUUCCUCGUACUGGGCCUCUGGGACACAUAAUAGAUUGAAAAGCAAACAGAGGCCACGUGGCCCCAAGAUGGGGUGUGCUGGCCAUAGGACGGGGCUUCCAUAAUAAGCACUUUUCAGAGGAGGUUCCAGUCCCCAGGGACCUGCUUCCUGAGGUUGAGUUUCUGGGCCGCAGAGCAUCGGCAGACAUAUUUCUCUCUCCCACAGUCCUCCUCGCAGCGAAUACAAAUCAUUUCUGAACGUCAGAUAGAGGAAGUACUAGCAAGUCCCAGCUAUGAGAGGUCUUGCUUCACCUGUGGGAGCAGUCCCUUCCGUGGGAACACACAGCCAAGAGAUGAUAGCUUUUUCCAAACUUUAUCCUAAGGGUUAGUGUCUCCUUGGGAAAAAGGUAUCAUAAUCAAGUAGCUGAAUUCUGGAGACAAGGGUCAAUCUAAUCUCUACUCAUUGACUGUGAUCCUCAGGACCUCCUGAGACUUUCCCCUGUUCUGUCGAAUGGGACUAAGACUUUCCUCCCUACCUGCCUUGGUGAGUUGAUCUCUGAAAUGAAUGAGGCACAUUCAGACAUACAAAAUCCUUCCGUAAGACAUAAUAUUCUACACCAGUGGGGGGCAGACUCUGGUCCACAGGCCAAAUCCAUCCCUCUGCUUGUUUGGUAUGGCCUUCAAGCUAAGAAUGGUUUUUACAUUUUUUUUUUUUUUUUUUUUUAGGGCCACACCUGCAGCAUAUGGAAGUUUCCAGGCUAGGGGUCAAAUUGGAGCUAUAGCUGCCAGCCACAGCCACAGCCACAGCAACGCCAGAUCCAAGCUGAGUCUGUGACCUACACCACAGCUCACAGCAAUGCCAGAUCCUUAACCAACCGAGCAGGGCCAGGGAUAGAACCUGCAUCCUCAUGGAUACUAGUUGGGUUUGUUUCUGCUGAGCCACAAUGAGAACUCCUACAGUUUUAAAUGGCUGAGAAGAAGACUUUAUGACAUGAAAACUGCAUGAGAUCCAUAUUUCAGUGGCCACAUGAAUGAGUGUAAAUGCUCGUGUGCUUAUGCAUUAUGGGUGGCUAAUUUAACACUACCAUGUCAAAGCUGUAUGGCC